Rhinichthys klamathensis goyatoka is the source of this 233-nucleotide long non-coding RNA. RefSeq lists it as uncharacterized. Lineage: Eukaryota; Metazoa; Chordata; Actinopteri; Cypriniformes; Leuciscidae. The transcript is spliced from 2 exons. The record is from RefSeq and is a predicted model, not a curated record.
UUUACCUGUAGUAAGUCAGUGUGGUCACUAGGAAAGCACUACACCCUUUGAAACACGAAAAGAAUACUUUAGGGGAAAUACAACAUUUUUUUAAUAAACAUUUGAUAAUUGUACGUACAGUAAGGGAGUUAUUGUCAGAAUUUUACCUGUAGUAAGUCAGUGUGGUCACUAGGAAAGCACUACACCCUUUGAAACACGAAAAGAAUACUUUAGGGGAAAUACAGUAAUUUUUU